This 177-nucleotide ribosomal RNA is filed under the name uncultured bacterium. RNAcentral's name for it is "partial small subunit ribosomal RNA". It matches the Rfam family "Bacterial small subunit ribosomal RNA", at positions 334 to 525 of the family's 1533-position model. The record is from RNAcentral.
GACUCCUACGGGAGGCAGCAGUGGGGAAUUUUCCGCAAUGGGCGAAAGCCUGACGGAGCAAUACCGCGUGAGGGAGGAAGGCUCUUGGGUUGUAAACCUCUUUUCUCAGGGAAGAAGAAAGUGACGGUACCUGAGGAAUAAGCAUCGGCUAACUCCGUGCCAGCAGCCGCGGUAAUA